AUUGAACGCUGGCGGCAUGCUUUACACAUGCAAGUCGAACGGUAACAGGUUAAGCUGACGAGUGGCGAACGGGUGAGUAAUGCAUCGGAACGUGCCCGAUCGUGGGGGAUAACGCAGCGAAAGCUGCGCUAAUACCGCAUACGAUCUGAGGAUGAAAGCGGGGGACCGUAAGGCCUCGCGCGAUCGGAGCGGCCGAUGUCAGAUUAGGUAGUUGGUGGGGUAAAGGCUCACCAAGCCAACGAUCUGUAGCUGGUCUGAGAGGACGAACAGCCAGACUGGGACUGAGACACGGCCCAGACUCCUACGGGAGGCAGCAGUGGGGAAUUUUGGACAAUGGGCGUAAGCCUGAUCCAGCAAUGCCGCGUGCAGGAAGAAGGCCUUCGGGUUGUAAACUGCUUUUGUACGGAGCGAAAAGGUCUUCUCUAAUACAGGGGGCUCAUGACGGUACCGUAAGAAUAAGCACCGGCUAACUACGUGCCGGCCGCCGCAGUAA
RNAcentral lists this ribosomal RNA (493 nucleotides) under uncultured bacterium. Its description in RNAcentral is "partial 16S ribosomal RNA". It matches the Rfam family "Bacterial small subunit ribosomal RNA", at positions 30 to 523 of the family's 1533-position model. The record is from RNAcentral.